CUCAAAGUUGGAACCUGUUUGGCCUAGCUAAACAGGAUUGUAAACUGUAGAAGUGUUUUCCAGGCAAUCCGAGUUAAUAAGUCCUUUGGAACAGGGCAUCAUAGAGGGUGAGAAUCCCGUCUUUGAUUCGAGAUAUUUUGUCUUUUGCGAUACACUUUCAAAGAGUCAGGUUGUUUGGGAAUGCAGCCUAAAUUGGGUGGUAAAUCUCACCUAAAGCUAAAUAUUGGCGAGAAACCGAUAGCGAACAAGUACCGUGAGGGAAAGAUGAAAAGAACUUUGAAAAGAGAGUUAAACAGUAUGUGAAAUUGUUAAAAGGGAACCGUUUGGAGCCAGACUGGCUUGUCUGUAAUCAAUCUAGGUUUCGUGCCUGGAUGCACUUGCAGACUAUUUGCCUGCCAACGACAAUUUUUUUUGAGUGUAAAAACUAUUGGAAAUGUGGCCAAUAUUUAUUUAUUGGUGUUAUAGUCCUUUAGAAAAUACCUUGAAUUGGAUUGAGGAACGCAGCGAAUGCUUCUCUUUUGAGGCAAAGUCUUUUAUUGGGAUUUACGGAUCAGACUGUGGCAUUGUCACAAGACUUGAAGUUUAAACCUAUUUU
Molecule: ribosomal RNA, 595 nt
Filed under: Rhizopus stolonifer
Lineage: Eukaryota; Fungi; Mucoromycota; Mucoromycetes; Mucorales; Rhizopodaceae
Also listed under: 1 other name
Description: partial large subunit ribosomal RNA
Rfam family: Eukaryotic large subunit ribosomal RNA
Source: RNAcentral